This 310-nucleotide ribosomal RNA is filed under the name uncultured bacterium. RNAcentral's name for it is "partial 16S ribosomal RNA". It matches the Rfam family "Bacterial small subunit ribosomal RNA", at positions 503 to 807 of the family's 1533-position model. The record is from RNAcentral.
AAGAGACAGCAGCAGCCGCGGGAAUACGGAGGGUGCAAGCGUUACUCGGAAUUACUGGGCGUAAAGCGUGCGUAGGUGGUGGUUUAAGUCCGUUGUGAAAGCCCUGGGCUCAACCUGGGAAUUGCAGUGGAUACUGGGUCACUAGAGUGUGGUAGAGGAUAGUGGAAUUUCCGGUGUAGCAGUGAAAUGCGUAGAGAUCGGAAGGAACAUCUGUGGCGAAGGCGACUAUCUGGGCCAACACUGACACUGAGGCACGAAAGCGUGGGGAGCAAACAGGAUUAGAUACCCCUGUAGUCCCUGUCUCUUAUAC